CCCCUCUCAGGAUUGCACCUGGAGAGUUUCCAAUACUCUACCAGUCUCAGCUACGGGAGGGAAUGUCAAGUAGAAGCAUCACCAUUCCAUUCCUAACUUGGGCAGUGGCUAGUGAGGGGAAGGCAAUCUUCUACAAGU
Molecule: small nucleolar RNA, 138 nt
Organism: Tachyglossus aculeatus (Australian echidna)
Lineage: Eukaryota; Metazoa; Chordata; Mammalia; Monotremata; Tachyglossidae
Source: RefSeq, a predicted model, not a curated record